RNAcentral lists this ribosomal RNA (200 nucleotides) under uncultured organism. RNAcentral describes it as "partial small subunit ribosomal RNA". It matches the Rfam family "Bacterial small subunit ribosomal RNA", at positions 1183 to 1382 of the family's 1533-position model. The record is from RNAcentral.
CGUCAAGUCAGGAUGGCCCUUACGGCCUGGGCUGCACACGUACUACAAUGCCCGGUACAGAGGGACGCAAUGCCGCGAGGUGGAGCAAAUCCUCAAAACCGGGCCCAGUUCAGAUUGUAGUCUGCAACUCGACUACAUGAAGUUGGAAUCGCUAGUAAUGGCGCAUCAGCUACGGCGCCGUGAAUACGUUCCCGGGCCUU